UGGAUGAAAUAUGAAGUUUUAUUAAAAGAAAAAGGGGUGAAAAGAACAAAGUUUUGUCCAUCUUUGUUCAUCAUAGCUGAAAGUUAGAGAAGAGAAAGGAGAGGAGAAAGCUUUUGAGUAUUCGGUCAUUAGGAGGAGGAAAAUUGAAGGUAAUCCCCAACCAUAGUGGGCUUGGAGCUGUGAGGGAAUUCGGAGUGGCCACCCGUUCUGAAAGUUUGAUUUUCUUUAUUACGUUUGAGGUUUUGGGCUUUUAAAUGUAAUAAGGCCGCUUAUUUAUUUUUGAUGGUUUUUAAUAUGUAUUACUAAGAUAGGUAAUACUUAUUUUAACUGUUGAAAUUGGAUAGCUUUAGGGCGCGUUUUCAAAAACAACAGUUGAUUUCAAAAUAACACGACAACAAGCAAAGCUUCCGCAAUGAAAGUAUUUUCCAAAAUUAA
Long non-coding RNA from Gossypium arboreum, 435 nucleotides. RefSeq lists it as uncharacterized. The record is from RefSeq and is a predicted model, not a curated record. The transcript has 2 exons. Lineage: Eukaryota; Viridiplantae; Streptophyta; Magnoliopsida; Malvales; Malvaceae.